RNAcentral lists this ribosomal RNA (331 nucleotides) under uncultured eukaryote. RNAcentral describes it as "partial 18S ribosomal RNA". It matches the Rfam family "Eukaryotic small subunit ribosomal RNA", at positions 1470 to 1796 of the family's 1831-position model. The record is from RNAcentral.
CCCUUAGAUGUUCGGAGCUGCACGCGCGCUACACUGAAGGAUGCAGCGUGUUAGAGUACCUGGUUUGUAAAAACUGGGUAAUCCGGUGAAUGUCCUUCGUGAUUGGGAUAGGCACUUGUAAUUAUUUGCCUUGAACGAGGAAUACCUAGUAAGUGCGAGUCAUCAGCUUGCGCUGACUACGUCCCCGCCCUUUGUACACACCGCCCGUCGCUCCUACCGAUUGAACGUUCCGAUGAAUACCAUGGAUUGAGAGUCUGAAUGGGUUCGCCUAUUUCUGCUUCUCGAGAAGUGGAGUAAAUCUCAGCGUUUAGAGGAAGGAGAAGUCGUAACA